Lycium barbarum (goji berry) is the source of this 3246-nucleotide long non-coding RNA. RefSeq lists it as uncharacterized. The transcript is spliced from 2 exons. Lineage: Eukaryota; Viridiplantae; Streptophyta; Magnoliopsida; Solanales; Solanaceae. The record is from RefSeq and is a predicted model, not a curated record.
UAUUUUAAUACACCUUGCUUAUUUCACUCUUCAUUGAACAAAACGCAGCAGAUACUUUAUUUUUGUUUCAAAUGGUUUGUCUUAGUAUUUUGUCCAGGUAAGAGUUAUGUUUUUUUUCAAUUCAGUUGGUCUUAAUUUUGUUCCCAGGUAACUCAAACUGAGUUUUAAAACAAUACACUCCCCCCAACCGUUUAUUUUCUUUGCACAUACACACUAGCCCCGAUCUCCUCGCUCACCACCACAGCCGUCAGUCUUGUGUCCCAGCAACCAGGUAUGGCUCUGUAUCUCUCUCUCUCUCCUUUCCACCUUGUCCUCUCCCUCCCUCUCUCACUGCCUCUGUUACAACAACAACAAUAACAAAAAAACAGAAUCUUUUUUUUUGUUCUUUUUCUUUUUUUUUUUAGUUCUAUGGUUUUCUUUGAUGUGAAGUUUGGGGUACAAAUUGUGCAAUUUUGGUGUGUUGGCUGAUUGAUAUGUGACAUUACUUUAUUGAACUAUAAUUCCCAUUAAAAAUGGGAGGAUAAUACGAUUGCCUAGAUGUCUCAAAAAGUGUGCACACAAGGUGUUCGAUAUAUUGUCCGAGAGACGAUUUCAUUCAUCCGUGAAGUCUGAGUAACCGAGCAAUAUGCGUCGAGGAUCAUGUUGCAUGGGUAAUUUCUUAGCACACAUUAUUGAUGUUUGAGACAAUAAAAUGGUAUAGUUUACAUGAUUAAAAUUGUAUUGGAAGUGAGCUCACAUGGUCAAGUUUGACAUAUACUUUGUAAUUUGAUCUUUCUGAUUUCUAAAAGAUUAAUUCUCUUUGCUAAAAGUGAUAGUAUGCAGUCUGUUUGCUGUAUACGGGUAAAAUCGAGGAUACAGGCACGCUCGGUUUCCCGUUGUCAUGGUUAUUCUCGGUCACGAUACGACCGUCUCACCGGGAACGAGGCUUCGAGCUCGGGCCGGGAUGAGGCGAUAAAGGAAGGGCGGUUGACUGCCAUAAGGAGAAGACCGAAAUAUUCACCCUCAACCGGAUAAUUCGGCGUCGAUCUCGGUAAACAGCUGUCACCAGAUUUCUUUUCUUUAUUUAGAAUUGUACUAGGGUUGAAACUCCUCUACUAUAUAAAGAGGAGGUUCUCAUCCAUUAAAGGGGUUGGAAACAAAAAGGGAGAAAGAUUUCAUAUAAAAAAUAAUAAGAAUCCUUUGAAACCAUUCCCACUUGUUCUUAAAUUCAUCUCUAUUGUUCACCUUGUAAGUACUCAACAGAGGGUGUCAACCUCGGUCUCCGUACCCGAGGCCAGACAUCGUACCCGAGGCCAGACAUACUUAAUAGUUGGUCAGAUCUGCUUCUUGAUUUACUUAUUGCCUUAUCUUGCAAUUUAAUCCAUAAUUGAAUUUAGCCACAUAUCUUUGGCAUCGCGAAUAAAUUUAAUUGUUCUCCGUUUUAAGGUUAAACAUUUGCAAAGCUCCAUCAAUCAUAAGCCUUUUUCCAAAUUGUGUGAAAAAGAACUUUAUCAUGGCAAAGCUGAAUUGUUAACAGAUGGAAAUAAGAGGUCAAGAGACAUGUGCUUGCAGUAAUACUGAACCUGGGUACGUUUUGACACAAACAUGGCUUCUAGUUCAUGGGACAACUCAAGGAGGAGUGGAACAAAUUUAUGCCUCUGCUGCACCAGUUCAAUGCAAAUCUCUUUUUCAGGGAGACGUCUAACUCUACUUCUGUUGUGUGGUUACAUUGAGGACAAUGAAACUUUUUAAGUUGGGGGGUUUUAUGUGAUUUAGAAGUGAUCGAAAAGAAACCAAGUGAAAACAAAAAGAAGCCAAAUUGAAGAAGUGGAAAAGUGGCUAAAAGUGCAAAAAUUGGACAGAUUUGUAAAUCUGAAAAUUUGGGGCUUAUUUUGUUAUUUUUUGUCACGACCCAACCAGAGGGCCAUGACGGGCACCCGGAGCUAACCUACCGAGCUUCCUCCACCCAUCUCAGUUAAAGGAGUUUGAAGUUUCUUGGGGCACGCCAAGUUCUAUCUGCACUUUAUUAAAGAUUUCUCCAAGAUAGCAAAUCCCAUGUGCAAGCUUUUUGAAAAUGAGAGGCUAAGUUCGAGUACGAUGAGAAGUGUCGCAAGGCAUUUGAUGAGUUGAAGAAGCGACUUACUUCUACUCCUAUUAUUGUUUCACUAGAUUGGUCCCUACCAUUUGGUUGAUGUGUGAUGCUAGCAGAUUUGGAAUUGGAGCGAUGCUUGGUCAGCAUCACAACAAGAUCAUGCACCCGAUUUACUAUGUAAGAAAAAUGUUGAGUCGUGCUUAAAUGAAUUAUACAGUGAAGAGUGUCACCAACUUUCUUAAGAAGAACAUUUUCACUCGAUUUGGCACCCCACGAGCUAUCGUUAGUGACGGUGGUAUGCACUUAUGUAACAAGGAGUUCACGGUACUGCUUGAAAAGUAUCGUGUCAAGCAUCGGGUGGCCACUCCAUAUCAUCCUCAGAAUAGUGGUCAGGUGGAAGUCUCCAAUCGGGAGACAAGGAGUAUUUUGGCCAAAACGAUCAAUGCAAACCGGACCGACUGGUCUCGAAAACUUGAUGAUGCUCUUUGGGCUUACAGAACGGCAUUUAAAACGCCCAUUGGAACUUCCCCUUAUAGGCUGGUGUUUGGCAAGGAAUGCCAUCUGCCAGUUGAACUUGAACACAAGGCCUCGUAGGCGUUAAAGAAGUUAAAUAUGAAUGGGUAGAGGAAGCCAAGCUGAGGUUGUUUCAAAUUACUGAAAUGGAUGAGUUCAUGUACCACGCAUAUGAGAGUGCAGCCUUGUACAAGGAGCAGAUGAAAUACUAUCAUGAUGUAUAGAUUCUCAAGCGGGACUUUCAGAAAGGCGAUUAUGUCCUGCUGUAUAAUUCAAGGCUAAAACUCUUUUCGGGGCAAAUUCAAAUCCGGAUAGUCCGGGCCUUGCUAAGUGGUAAAUGUUUCACCCAAUGGCUCAAUGGAGUUGUAUUCUGGAGAUGGAACUAGGACAUUUAAGGUGAAUGGCCAGAGAGUGAAGCAUUACCUUUGGUGUAUUGAUGGAGACAGGAUCGUUGACAGACACGGGCUGAAGCAUGGCUACACUCCUGACCCGGAGUAAAACGAUAAUACAGUUGUGUCGCGACGUUAAAUCAAGCGCUUUUUGGGUGGCAACCCAUGUUUACAUUUUGCAUAGUUUUUUAUUUUUUAGAUUGUUUUGAUGUUUGUUGUGUCUAGGAUUCAACAAAGUUGGAGAAUGACAGAAGUGGAGAAAACUGCAGAAAA